RNAcentral lists this ribosomal RNA (250 nucleotides) under uncultured bacterium. RNAcentral describes it as "partial 16S ribosomal RNA". It matches the Rfam family "Bacterial small subunit ribosomal RNA", at positions 524 to 773 of the family's 1533-position model. The record is from RNAcentral.
UACGUAGGGGGCAAGCGUUGUCCGGAUUUAUUGGGCGUAAAGGGCGCGCAGGCGGCCUUUUAAGUCAGAUGUGAAAGGUCUCGGCUCAACCGAGGAGUUGCAUCUGAAACUGGGAGGCUUGAGUGCAGGAGAGGAGAGUGGAAUUCUCGGUGUAGCGGUGGAAUGCGUAGAGAUCGGGAGGAACACCAGUGGCGAAGGCGACUCUCUGGCCUGUAACUGACGCUGAGGCGCGAAAGCGUGGGUAGCGAAC